This is a long non-coding RNA of Oryzias melastigma (Indian medaka), 827 nucleotides long. RefSeq lists it as uncharacterized. NCBI's taxonomy places the organism in Eukaryota, Metazoa, Chordata, Actinopteri, Beloniformes, Adrianichthyidae. The record is from RefSeq and is a predicted model, not a curated record. The transcript is spliced from 2 exons.
CGCAGAAAACAGCCUUUUACUGUCUCGGUGGAUCCUAUUGCAGCUGCAGAGGAUGUCUGCACACAGUGACACGCUGUGGUCUUCAUACAACCACGAGCCAAAGCAGAUCGAUGUUUCUAUGUCCAACAGGUCCCAAUCAAAGCACAUACAGCAUGAGAUGCAAUAUUGAAAGGUCUGUUAAACCUGAAGCUAUGGUCACCGCCCUGGGAAACACACAAUCCAUCCAAGAAAAGUCUGGAAAUUUGCGUGAAUGCACGUUUAGGGCCUCUGAAAUCAAAAACCUUGAGUUCACGGAUCGCCACACAAGUUUUUACGUCUGUUUUUAGGUUCUACGUACAAAAUGCAGAGCCAAUGCAAAUUGACCUUUGACCAAUCAAGAGCUUGGAUUUGGGAGUGACGUAGAGGUAGCAUCCUUUUUGAGUCAUGGAAAUGCUGACCAUUGGUAAAAUGAUCACGGGAGAGAAAUUAUUAAAUGCGGUUUGAGCCAGGCUGGAUUUCUAUGACUCUAUGUCUUUCAAAUAUCAGAAUAUAGAGGAGGAAGACGUGUGAAUAGAAGAAAGAAGAAAAUGAGAGGCAGAGGUUAGAAGGCUUUAUUGUUGGCUCAAUUGUUUUCCGUUAGCCCCUGGUUUUACUUUUUUUUUUUUUUUUUUUACUUUUUUGUUUUUUUAAAGUGUAUCCAGUAAAUCUUAAGUAAUUUGCAGUAAAUGAGUAAAAGAUCCCAGAAGACCAGAACGCCAGUACGAUGGCAUCACAUAUUACAGAUAUUGAUAUAAUGAGACCUUUUUUCAUCUCUUUUUACAGUCAGUAUAAAUUCAAGAUGGAGACAC